CGGUACAAACCGGGGCGUGAACAUCUGAAGUGUUUCUCGCAGCCAGCAGUCACUCUGAACUCACCUGGAGGGAAAAGGCUGAACCAAAUCCAAUUAGCUGCACAAAGUUAGCACAACUGACAGACAUGAGUCAUGUUUGAUUUGGGGAGAAGGGGAGGAAGUACCAGCAUUCUUACAAAAUAAGAGCCCACAUUUUACCUUAAGUGAAGCUUUAUUUUGAAGAGUUAUGCUGGGUUUUGUUUUAUUUUGUAAUUGUUCCUCAUUCUGUCCGGUUCCUGCAGAUCUUCAUAAAGAAAGCAGAGUGAAGCUCCGCCUCCUGAGCUCACCUGAUCGCAGAGCGGCGCCCCCGUGUGGCCGCUGCGGAGCCGUUCAGCUCAGAGACUGAAACCCUUCGAACAGGCGGCACCGGCUGGUUUCCACGGCAACGCGGACCAACCAGAGUUCUGUAUUUAUGUGUACAUACGACACACCCCUUCCUGUCGUCACACACCACCUUCACACACACUCACGGGCGUGUGUGUGUGUGUGUGUGUGUGUCAGCCGCUGCGGGUCCUCCCUCCGUCGGUUAACGAGUUGCCUUAACGAGGACAGAGCAGACUGCGUCCAUGUAGCGUCCGUCCUGCUGAAACUACUGAAGGCGUUUGGAGUUCGACCUGAGGCCUUCUCGCCACAGCGCCCUUUGUUUACUGCGCCGCCUGGAAACUUUCUGUUUUCCGUAGAGAGACUGUUUUCCAUCCAGACGUUGUCUUCCAGAGAGGGACCAGCCUGCGGGCUCGGAGCAGAGGAAGUUUGGAUAAAUGGUUCCCGUUCUGUCGUUCCUUCACAUCAGCUGUAGGUGCCUUCUGAUGUAAAUAGUCCCGAAACACGGGUCGCUCUUCCCGACCACAUUUUACUCCCUUUAGUUUGGAUUUUAGAUGUGGAGGAACAGCAGAUUUUCUCUUCUGAUCAAAAAUGCCAAGAAGUUUUUCUACGCCACGUCACACCGGCUCUGCAGCCGUCCUCCAUCACAGCAGCACGUCAAAAAUGUUUCAGCUGUGCAUACAAGCAUCAACAUUAGCAUGCUAAUGCUAACCCCUCAGGUCCAGUGUUCUAUAUGGAUGACGGCCAUUUUUCAAGAUGGUUGCCUUUUUUUUUUUUAACUAAUAUUUGGAAUAAAAUGUUCCUCAUUUCCAUGAAUUGGAGGAACUUUGUGUCUCCAUAAAACUUUAAAGUGAUAAAAAGCAGCAGAAUCAGAAACUGAGGAUUUUGCUGUUGGCGAGAGACGGACCACUUAACGGUUAGCGUUAGCUUCAUUAAUUUUUUUAACGUAUUGAACAGUUUAGCGUUAGCAUAACUAAGAUUCUCCUUUAGUUAGUGGCUGGUGAACCAUACAUAGCUUAACUGGUUAGCGGUGGAUAAUAAUUCCUGCCAACUUUAGUGGAAACAUGUAUUCUACAUUAAAACCCUGGUGGCCAUUUUGAAAAAUGUCCACCAGAAAAAGAACAAGAUCAAGAAAAUAUAAAUAAUUUGUAUGGUUGAAAAUAUUUAGGCUUUAAUUUGACACCAAACACAUUCAUCUAAUUGGAGAUUUUUGUGCAGAACUAAAAAUUUAUUUUCCAUUACAAUGGCAGCCAUCUUGAAAAAUCAAAAACUUACCUAUAAUUAUGAUUUCUAUGACUUCUGUAUAAUUUGACACCAAAAGCAUUACACUUCGGCAAACUUAGGGCCACAGUAUAUUUUCCUUGACCACCAUGGCGGCCAUUUUGAGUGUUUCAGAGACUAAUGCUUUUUUUGGGGGAACAUUUGUGUCAUGUUUGGUUCUUGUAUCCGCACGUGAAAGAUUUUGCUGAAACGUUAGAUCUGCUGGUCAAAACUUCCUGCUGUGACGUUCUGCUUUCAUUUCGAAGCUUUUUACAAUCAAACCCUUCAGAUUCACCGUGUCGGAUUGGACGGGUUUCACAAACACUGCAGUAGAAAGGGUUAGAUAAAGAUUUUCACAAUCAUUUUUCUAAUUUGAGCUCCUGAGUAACAAAGUUUUCAGUAAGGUUUUUCAGAAAAGCUAAAAACAAGCUGGUUUGGUGAAACAAGGAAGGAGAUCCAAUCAGAUCAGUGAUUUUUCCCAUCAGAUCCAUUGGACCACUUUGUUAAAGAAAACCAGGAAAAUGACCUCAGGGAACAAUUUAUCUGGACUUUUCCUCCGCUCAGACGGAGCUCCGGUCUCUCUGCCCAGACUCACUGAACAUAACUUGAGUUUUAUUUCGUUUCCUCUUUGAUGCACUGGAUUGCAUUACUGUCAUCUUGUUUGUGUCUUUUGUACCCUUUAGAUAAACUAUUUAAAUGAGCUUCUAUCCAAUCUGUGGAUUGUAAUAAAGAGAGAAAAUGAAAUAAUUUCA
This is a long non-coding RNA of Poecilia latipinna (sailfin molly), 2372 nucleotides long. RefSeq lists it as uncharacterized. Lineage: Eukaryota; Metazoa; Chordata; Actinopteri; Cyprinodontiformes; Poeciliidae. The transcript has 2 exons. The record is from RefSeq and is a predicted model, not a curated record.